Molecule: long non-coding RNA, 17417 nt
Organism: Nematostella vectensis (starlet sea anemone)
Lineage: Eukaryota; Metazoa; Cnidaria; Anthozoa; Actiniaria; Edwardsiidae
Exons: 6
Source: RefSeq, a predicted model, not a curated record
AGAGAGAGUAUAUAGAAUAGACUCAGUAAAGUGGAAUUAAAAAUGAAAUGAGCAACAGCAACCCUAACAAAUAUAUCUGCCAGGCAUAUAAGUUGCUGUCCUUGUUCUACUACCCUUGUAACAAAAUAAUGUUUUGUCCUCUUGGGUUGCACUAAAUCCAGCAACUCAUCUACUUUUUGACCACUUUAUAUUACAGCAAACCAUAUUUUUAAUAUUUUUUCAACCUUUUUUGACAUUCAGCAAAAUGCAAGUAUUUGUAUAACUUUCAAAGUGGACAGCAUGAUAUAUAGAUUUCACAUACUUAAUCAUAUAAACUGCUUUUAGACCAAACGCAUCAAUAUUUUUUAUUAUCUUUUUUAACAGUGCAGUUUCAAUUUUACAUGCAUAUAAAUACCUCAGUGAUAUUGUCAAGCAUGAGCAUGUUAGGUUGAAAACUGGAUCAUUUUCAUUAACUUAUCAUUUACUUAUGUGCUAUCUAUUAUUCUACUCUCAAAGGCUGCAUUAUGUUUUUUUCUGUCUUGAAGUAUAUAAAAUUUAAUAUCCUUGUAACUUAAGUGCCAUUUGUUAUUGAGUUAUUAUUUUACUAUUUUAUAUCUAAUCAUUAGGAUCUAUUUAUUAUUUGCACACGACCUAUAUUUAUUAUUCUUUCUUUUUAAGGUUUAUAUAUUAAAAAGAUUGACAGAGUGAUUAUUUAUUAUCUACUUAUGAAUAUUUUUUUAUUAUAUUCGUUAUUUAUUAUCUAAAUAUUUUUACCUGUUAACAUUAACACAUUACGAAUCUUAAAUGUGAAUAACUAUCUUAAUUUACUAUCUAAUUCAAAUUAGUUAUUAUCUCAUUAUUAUCUAUUUACUAUUGGCACAUGACACAUCUGUACUGAAAUAUUAUAUGGUUUUUCUCUUCAUGGUGUACAUUAUUCAAAACAUAUUAAUUUAUAUAUUUGUACCUAUAUUUAAGCAAUUGUAUUUCUUAUCUUAUAACUUAAUAAAACUUGUCUAUUUGCAUGUUGCUUUCCCUUUUUCUGAAAACUACGGCUCCGCUUUUAGACAGUGCCUAAAUCUAUCUAGUAUGAUGGACAGCCACACUGCUCUCAACUUGGAUGAGGAUAUUCUUGGUGGCAUAUUCAGGAAUCAGUUUCCGCUAAGUACUUGGAAUAUCCCGGCUAAACAAAAUCUCAAAAGAAGUUCUGUGGCGUUGAACUGAACAAAAAGGUUUGAAGUUGUUAUCCGUGGAAGAGAGUGGCAUUGGAUAGGACACACCUUCAGGAAAAAAAGAGUGUUUUUUUUUUUGCAAGAAUUGGAGAGUGGACUAAGGACUAUAACGCUACACACAACUACUAGAGAGUUAAGCUUUCGCGCGAAUUGGUGGCCUGGUUCUGCCUCUUCUCGCGGGACAAGGGUCUUCCCUAGAUGCUGCCCUUGAGGCCUCCAAAAAUCAAUGUAAAAGGUAAGUAGUUUAAGGAAUAUAAUGCACAAGCUAAUCUGUUGUGAUACAUUAAAAAGAUAUGAGUAUCACCAUCUAAAAUAAGACGUAUCUUUUAACUCUAACGCUUUCAGUCCCCAUAAAAAGAGGUUAAAACUGGAUCAAUUGCAACUUUCUUAAUUUAGAGUAACACCUUUGCUGAAUGCAAAAAUUUCCGACAAAUAAUGCAGAUAAAAAUGCAUCGGAUAAUAGCCGAAUUAAGGUAAUUGGACAAAAGUCUUACAUCUGUAUAAAUUGCAGAGGUAAAAUAACAGUAACAGAAAAGUCUGACAGUCAGUUUUUAGUUUGCACGCAAUGCUAAUAAAAAAAACAGUCUUCUCCGUCAGCGAAUCUCGGUAUUGCAGAGGAUGGCCAAAAUUGGUCGAUUUUAGAUAGUGAAUGCUUGCAAGGCGAUUACGACUUGUUGGAGGGACUUCUGGCUGUGUAACACGUAAGACAUGACCGAAACAACAACUGCAUGAUACAACUUGAAUAACGAAAGGAAUGGUGAACAAGAGAACAGCAAAAAUGUAAAGAAAGAGUGCUUGAGCUGGAGGGAUACAGCAAAAGUUCAAUCAACGAUUCUUUAAUAUUCCCGAAGAAAAAGGUGAAAUUGGUAUCACAAAGUUAGAGAACAUAGUGUCAACCAAUCUUGGUCUCGAGGCGACUGUGGAGAACGCAAGCACACAAGGAAAAUCACUAGAAAUAAGCCAAACCGGCCAAUUUUUGCUAAAUUUGUCUAUCGGCCUGAAGUUAGGCUUGUCACGAGGAGGAGUAACGAGUCAAAGACAGGAGCAUUUGAUUUAAUAAUGAAGGAUUGUUUGAAGGAAUAGCUACUCCAAGAGAAAAUGAAGCAGGCUUACGUUGCUAGUAAGAGACCUCGGUCACUUGUAUAUUGAUGGGAUGGGGUGGGGUUAGCAAGCUUUUAUUCAUUAUGAGUAUUUUGAUCAAUGAGUAAUAAUAAAGUCGAGUGACCCUGACAUGAAAUUGCAAGGCUUAUGAUUAUGGCUAUUUCACUCCCACUGAGAAUUGUGAUCGGUUCUCGGUAUCAAUUCUAAAAGUAUUAAUGCUCACUUGAACGAUUUAAUUAAUUUACUAUCGAGAAUUGUUGUAUAAAGAAAAAUACACAUUUUUACCAGGCACGACAGGCCUGUUUAGAGACAGCUUUUUUUGUCUCUUUUCAGGUGCAAUUGUACAAGGAACGUUCGCCUAUUUAUGUUGAAUUUUCGUACAUGGCGGCAUGCGUAUGCGAGUUUAUUACGUUUGUUUAAUGAGCAUUCACUUGAACGUCAUAAUAUAAAAUAUUUCUCUGUUAUGCAGAGGUUGUACCUUUUGGAUCUAUUGUGUAUGCAGGGGCACGUGCCAGGACGCUGCUCCAGUAGGGAUCAAGUAGGGAUUUGUAGCGUCUUUAAGCGCCCAAAUGUGUUUUCUUAAUGCUGUUGCUUGUUUAUUUCCUUCGUUUUUGAAAGACGUGGUGUGGCUGUUGUACCUGGUUUUAAAACUAUCAGCGAUGGGUCCCAUAUAUAUGACAUUUUUAGGCCGUUGGCGGAGAAGACCUUGCAAAUCUGUUGGACAUACUGAGAUGUUGUAGCCCUUGAAUAAAUGUCCUAAAUAGAAGAAUGAUCCUGUAAGCCCAAAUGAAUGAAAAUCGAAGCGAAAAGAUUUAUUUACAGUUCAGCGUUGUUUCUAUCGUUGUGACAAGCACCGUGAUAUAAUUCAACGACUUUCCGGGCGAUUUAUUCCGAUUUAUUUAUUGAGGAUGAUACUGAUUUUUAUUAUGCUUUUUUAAACCUGAAUGUUUCAUCUAGAGACCAAGAACGGCUAAAAACCCUAUAUUUUAAUUCUUUCUCUGAUGACUCUGACUCAUGGCAACUCUUGCUCGACUUUGGUAUGGACUCAGAUGCUUACUUUCUCUACGACAAUUCAAAGGUUCUCUAAAAAUGCCUUUAUUUAACUCCCAAUAAAUUCAACCUGGUCCAGCCUACUACAUCUGGAUCUUUUUCAAUAUUACAUGUUAACAUUCGUAACCAUAAAAAAACACUUUGCAGACCUUUCUGAAUUUUUAUCAACCUAUCUGUCGAGUCAUUUAACCAAGUUUCAGAGAUAGCAAUGCCAUGAAAAUUGGAGAUAAGCCUCCUGACUCUUCUGUUGCUGAUUUCAACUCAACUUUUUCCAAUGUUCUCUCAAAAAUCAGUUUUGAAGGCAAAUCAUCUUAUCUGGCGGGCGACUUUAACAUCAGUCUUCUCAAUUCUUCUUCCCAUUAAGUACUGAAAAGUUUAACUCCUUGUCUGAAAUUGACUGGUCUUUCCUUUAUGAAUUAGACUCAGUAAAUGACUGCCAUAAUGCUUUUGCUGACCAUAUUACCCCAAUCUACAAGAAAUGUUUCCCUCUAAAAGCCAUCAACUCCCAUACCCGUCCUUUCCAACCUUGGUUUUCCAAUUCCUUAUCUGUCUCAUGUAAAAGAAAGAAUUACUGUCCUCAAAAACACCCAAGAAAAGGCGCUUGUAAAAAGACCUACACUUCUAGAAAGGGAUCUUGUCGAUCGAUUUCGUAUUUCUGUUUCAACUACAUCUAACAUUUUCAGGAUUUUGUUUUUGAAGAAAUAACUGUCGGGGUUAGAUUUAAGGAACUCUAUCCUCUAUCUAUUGCACAGAAAUCAACAUGGAAUCUCCCUCAAGUUUGACAAAAAGUCUAUGAGUUAAUCGUCCUACAAAUACAUUCUAUUGCACAGAAAUCAACAUGGAAUCUCCCUCAAGUUUGACGAAAAGUCUAUGAGUUAAUCGUCCUACAAAUCCACACCACCAUAAAGUCUAUUGUUGCUAUUACACCAAAUAAAGCUGUCUUAGUGAGAUAUACAGUUGGGCUCUUAGUGAUCCAGAUAUUUUCGUCAAAAUCAGAAUUCCUCACAUUAGUGCAAAAAGAAAAUGUCAUCAUGGCAGAUAAAGGAUUACUUAUCCAAGAUCAGUUUGCUUCUGUUAGUGCAAGGCUAGAUAAUAAAUAAUAAUAUCUACAUUUAUAGAGCGCCUAAUCAAUAGUUGCCUUAGGCGCUUUACAUUUAUAUAAUAAUAUAUAUCGAUAAAAAAAUAUUACACAAUCAAAAUCAUUCAAACAAUACAUUGUGUCUAAAAAAUGUUACAUUUCUAAAAAUAGAUAUGAUGAUUUAAAAUUAUAUAUAAAACUGUACUAUUAACAGUUAUUAAAGAAGGGAAUUGCAGUAGUCAAGUUUUGAACUGAUAAGGGCAUGUAUGAGUAUUUUUGUGGAAUUCUUGUCGAGGUACUUCCUAAUCUUGCCAAUAUUUCCGAGGCGGAAUCUUGCAGAUUUACACACCAUUGCGAGAUGAUCAUCAAAAGAAAGAUGGUUAUCGAGAAUAACUCCAAGAUUCCGUUCAGCAGGGGCAGGUUUGACGAUUUCGUCAACCACCUUUACAUGUUCGAGACUUGGGGUGGGACAGAACUUGCACCCUCCAAGCAAGCAUUGAUCUCGUGAACACAACAUUCAACUUUAGUUUAAGCCAUCAAAAGUCCAUCUUGUGAAUUACCUCGAAAAGAAACAUAAAGAUGUAAAUCAUGCAUGAAGAUGGAAUGGAAUGCCAUCUCGUGCUAUGAUCUGAGCAAUGGGCAAAGUAUAGGCAAGAUAGAUUAGCGGCCUAUGGACAGAUCGCUGAGGGACACCUCGUUCCAGGCUACGCAAAGAUGACUUACAGUCUUCAACGGGUACAUACUGUUUGUGGGAUGUAAGAUAUGAGCGAAACCAAGCAAGAACAUUACCAGUCAGGCCAUAACUCUAUGAGAGACGUGAAAGCAGAAGGGAAUCCUCAACAGUAUCAGAUGCCGGCGGUAAGUCAAGCAGUAGCAUCAAUACCGAGUUCACAACAUCUAUGGUACAUAAGAUAUUAUUCUGCACCUUGAUAAGAGCUGUCUCCGUGGAAUGGAAUUUGUUAUAAGCAGAUUGAAGGGAAAUUACUUCUGGAAGGAAGGAGUGUACUAAAGCAUCCCUUUAAAAGGAAAGCUGGUAAAGGAUCAAGAUUACACGAUAUAGGCUUGUAUUUGUGCUUUGCGAACAAGAAGGAUGAAACAGGAAGUUAAGAUUUUUUAAGAUAAGUUGAACAACAAACCCAAGUACUCUCAAGAUCAAGCUGUGUUCGCUAGGAAUUUUGGGAAGGGGGCAAAGUGGCUACCAAGUUUAAUAGUUGGGACAUUCAGCCCCCGAAAUUUUGAUGUACAAGUUGGUGAUGUAAUAUGGAAGAGACGUGAGGAACAAUUACGCCCUAGGUAUAUUCCUUCCAAUAAGUUAGCUCCAAAGCCGUUGUAUCAAACAGCACUGGGCAAUACUUACCGGAAGCCCAAUGGUUUUCCUACAGAGAUUAGUCAAGAAGGUGAAAGUACCACUGGACGAAAAAACGGAUUUACGCAACUUUGCCCAUCGCGCAAAUAUGAUGUAAAUAUCAGGCACUAUAUUUGGUGCCUGAUUUGCUUUGGUAGUAAACAUGUAUACAAAUUUUAUAUUUGCAUGUUGUGCAAACACUUUUCAAAGAUCAACUUUGAAUAAUUUGCUUGGAUGGUAAAUUUGUAUGUAAAUUUCAUGUUUGUAUUUUGUGCAAAUAACAUUUCAAAGAUCAACUUUGACUGAUUUGCUUGGAUUGUAAAUUUUUAUGUAAAUUUCAUGUUUUUAUUUUGUGCAAAUACAGUUCAAAGAUCAACUUUGAAUAAUUUGCUUGGGUGGUAAAUUUGUAUGUAAAUUUCAUGUUUGUAUUUUGUGCAAAUACAGUUCAAAGAUCAAAUUUAGAUUUGCAUGGAUUUACACUCACUAGAUUAUCUUUACUUAUAUCUGCAAGGUGUGUUGUAAUAUCACUUAGUGUUUGACGGUGACAGUCGUGUGCGACAAAUUUUUUUGUUGUCGCUUUUAGUAGGCCAAACAUCUAAAAUCAUCAUCAAGAUACUAGUGAAAAUCGUCGAGUUUUUUUUGUGCGUUUCUUAUACGCGGGUUUGAUGGAAAAAAGGCGAGAGCGACCAGAUGGCGGUGUAAUAUAUAGGUUAUUUACCGGCUGGGAGGUCCGGCCUCGGUCAGCAUUUCCCAGACCUCUGUCACAGUUUUUCUCUAUUCGGACCGACCUCAAGUCGGUAAAUAACUUAUUUAUUUUACCCUUAAAACAUUGUUCGGAAAUCCUGCAGUCAACAUAUUUUAGUAUCUUGCGUCACAGUCACGUGGUUUCUCUGUAUGUCGCUUACAUACAGUAAAACCACGUGACACUUGUAUUCUACUCACAAGAUGGCGUCCUCCAUGAAGCUGGAGUCCGAUUUUAGAGCAGAGAAAGCUGAAUGGUAAGCAUUGGCCAUGUAAUCUUACUACCACCAUUUUUUAUCUUAAUUAUAUAGACAUACACAGAAACCAGACAAAAUCGCUUCAAAUGAUUCAUCAGAAUUCAUCAUUCGAGGUCCCGAAUGUAGUUUCCUAUAUUAUAAUUUUACCGUUUGUGUAUAUAAGCUUAUUACCUAGCAAAACACUGGUGUCUAUAUUAUAAAUAAUUAUGAGAUAUAGGUUUAGACACUACAAUCAAUUGCUUUUAUGUUAUGCUACAAUUAUUAUUUAAUUAUCCAUCUUAAUUGUGAUAAUUUUAUGUCAUACUCAGGCUAAAACACAGAUGGAAGGCUUGGAAAAUUCAAAGUCAUGGAAGACAAAGUGUGAUGAUGUCUUUAAACUUCUCAAGUAUAAAUACCACACUAUAAACAAAGUAGAAGCAGGCUCAUGUUAGGCAGGUCUAUAAAGAGCUCAGCCAUGACGACGAAGAUGGAACUGAUCAGCAUAUGACCUGGGAUUUCAGCAAAACUUAUGAUGAUGACUUCAACAAAGAAGUUGGUCGUGGCAUAUUUGCGGGAGUGCGCAGUACGGAUAGCAAGUCAUCGUCAACUGCCAUAAAAGCUGCAAUGCAUGUCCAUUUCAGAACUAAAAAGAGGGGGCAUGUCACAAAAGCAAAUGACAGUUAUGAUGCCACCUUAAACAGGCCGAGAAAGCGCAGCCGGCUUAACACAAAAACAACGCUACGAAAAAAGACCUUGAGGGAAAGCUCCAGCAUCAACGAGGAGAGAAAAGGGAAAUACUUUGAAACCAUGUCCGUGGACUAUAUGUCCUCGGAGCACACAAGGUCUGAUGGAGAAAAUGAGGGGUCUGACGAGGAAGCACCUAAACUGCUUUACAAGCAUAAGCUUCCAUGGAGGAGUGAGAAGGCCGAUUCAUUGAUGGCCUAAAAAGUUAGGAAGGGCAGGGGCCAGAGAAGCACAAACAUGAUGUACAGGAGGAAAGAUGGUGCUAAUUCGAAAAGAACUGCACCAAUUGAUGCUCCCGAUUGGGCUGUGAAGCAUCAGCUUUAGGUUGUCUACAUGCAAGCUAUUCUUUUGGAAUUAGCACCAUCUUCUCUAUUUUGCUAUGAAUGAUGGACUUGUGCGUUGACACAAAAAAUGUUAUUGUUAAAGCAUAUAGUGAUCGACUUGAUUUACAAAUUCACAACGAUUUUUAUUACAACAAGUUUAUGAGUAUUCAGAUUUACUAUUGAACUAUUUUCCUCGAAAAACAGUAGAUGAGGCUACAAUUUAUUAUAUAAAGGAGAUGUGAUUUAUUUAGAAUAUUGAAAGAAUAAUAUUCAAAGAAUUAUUACUUUGACCAAGAGCUGAUAAAAUAAUGUUUAUAGUAAUUUAUUGAUUUUGAAAUAUACACUUAUUGGACCAAACCAAAUGUAUAAAUACCGAUUAUAUUUUACUGAUUACAGUAAAUAAAUACACGAAAUAAAUGAUUUCAGUAGAUAUGCUUGUUGGUCUCUCUGUAUAUAUUUUAACAUAUUUUGUGGGAAGGGGCAGAUGGGAUCUAUUGGUUUGUCCUAACUGCAAAUUUAGAACAAAUGUAUUAAUUGGUAACAUUCGCACGCCGUGCAAAAGGCAAAUUUGCUAAGAUGUUUUUUGAUGGGCAAAUAAUUUGCAAAAGUGACCCUUGCUGUAGUAGUAAAUAUAAUGAAUAUACACUCUUUGCAUCAUGAGCAAAUGCAAGCAAACAUGACGAAAACAUAACAUUUGCUAUCGUGUUUACCGGUGCGUGAAUAUAACUGCAAAUCCGUUCUUUGCACUGUUUUUGAAAUAUUAGCAAAUAUGAAGUAAAAUCGGCCUUCACUUGGUUUGUCUUGGUGCCAAAUAUAAAGCAAAUUCAAUAUUUGAAUUUGAGUAAAGGCGAGUAAAUAUGGACUUCACCAUAGUUGCAAAACAUAUUUACUAUAUCUGCAAAUCUGUUUUUUCGUCCAGUGUACACCUCAGGUGCUUUUACCGGAUUUACCUGAGAUGGGGUCUCCCUUAACAAUGGAUACUGAAGGAGUUGAGACUACAGAAGCUACAGAGCCUGUGCCUAGGCCUUGUGGGACACUUGAGACAAUAGGGAGUAUGGGUUCAGAAGUCAUGACCCCACCUGGGAUUGCCUCCCCUGUCUAGAGAUACCCAUCUAGAGACCGGAAACCUCCUGAAAGAUUUUAUUGAACUGUGUAGCCUAGAUAAGUUAUUAUUUAACUUGAGAGAGGGCAGUUGUUAUAUAUUCAGAUUGCUAUUGUCCUGCGCAGUAGCCCCUCCGACUGCUCAUGCGCAGUUAGGAGAGGGCGAACAUGUGCUUUUGAGUUCGGCCAUGUUUUGCGUUCCAGAGUAAAAGUUUAACAGUGUUACAUACUGUCUCUUUUAUUGGAUUAUUAUCUUCAACCUGACUUCCCAAUACACUACAGUAUACAAAUGUAUUCAACUGAGAAUGAGGAAAAAGCAGUGUUUGCGAACGAUGGAAUAGAACAAUUAAAACCAAAAUGUGGAAACAAUUCACAGCUCAAGGUAAUACGCAAUAUUUAGAGACGCUAUCUAAGAUUUUGAAGCAGUAUAACAACACCAAACACUCAAGCAUUAAGAUGACGCCCGUAAAAGCUAGUAAAAAGAAGAAUGAAGGUUUAGUAUAUUUCAGCCUAUAUGGUAACAUGGAGACACCAAAACAAAAGCUUAUAUUUAAAAUAGGUGAUAAGGUUAGGAUAAGUAAAUAUAAACGAAAUGUGUUUGACAAGGGUUACACACCGAAUUGGACUGAGGAAGUUUUUAUAGUUGAUAAAAUACAAUACACCUGAACUACUAAACGCCAAGCAGGAUGUUUUUCGCAUCGAUUAUAAAAAGAAGCAAGCUUUGGUGAAGUGGAAGGAGUACAGUGACGAAUUUAACAGUUGGAUACCAUUCAGGGAUUUAAACGCACUAUGAAAAUAUAAUAUAUACUACAAGUAUAUGACGCAGUAUAUCCCAACCAACCUCACUGUACUCAGGCACACGUAGACUACCUUCGACCGUGUAGCCACCAAGGUGGCGUAAAAGGAUCGGUCGGGGAUGGGGACCCUCGACGCUGUGAAUAAUAUCUCCCCAUUUGUAUGUGCACUAGUCUAGACACCUUCAUAUAUGAUAACACGAGGAUCGACGUCACCAAGAAGUGCGACGAGAUCUGGCUACGGGCUGAAAAGGUCGCCAACAUGUUAGGGUACAAAAAUACUAGAAAGGCUAUAUAAGACCAUGUUGACCCAGAGUAUAGGAUCACUCUGGGAGAGCUCAGACUUAGGGGGAACGAAUCGUUCCCCCAAGCGAUAUACAUGAUUUCGCUUUCAAAUUGUUUUUGUUUACAAUUAAGUUUGCUUUUAGAUUUGAUUUCGCUUUCAGAAUACUUUGUUUAACAAUUCAUUUUGGUUUUAACUUUGAUUUCGCUUUGAAAUUGUUUUGGUUUUACAAUUUAUUUUGCUUUUGAAUGAAAAAAAAAAAUUUGAUUUUUCCUCCAAGAAAAUAAAGAAAUCGAACGGCAGCGAUCGGCCACCAUACACCGAUCUAAUGUAACUAGCUUUUUCAGGAAAAAGUCGAGACAACUUCAAAUUAUAUUUUUCAUUUUCCCGAAGUAUCACAAGAGACUGACUAUUAUCCUGGUUCCCCUGUGCUGUUAUGGGAAGGCAGUAAUUUUUGUAAGUUUUAGAUUUCAUAGAUUUGACAGAGUUUAUUUUUCAUAUACUAUAACCUACAAUAUUUUCACACAAAACCUGUUAUCAUGUAGCACCUCUCUCUUCUGAAAGUUGCUUCUGAAGAAUUGCUAUCCUCUACAUCACUGUUGUCAAUGCCAUCAACUAAACAGGCAUGGCAUAGCCAGGACUCCAUUCUCAUUGCUAUCCUCUACAUCACUGUUGUCCAUGCCAUCAACUAAACAGGCAUGGCAUAGCCAGGACUCCAUUCUCAUUGCUAUCCUCUACAUCACUGUUGUCCAUGCCAUCAACUAAACAGGCAUGAAAUAGCCAGGACUCAGGAGUAGCAGCUUUAUCUGUAAAACCAGCACAGGGAAGGUGCCAAAAACAGAACAUUUGUCACAAACAAUACUGCCUUCAAUCUCUGUGUUAAUUUCCGACUUUUCCAGUAUAACUUUGUUGCAUUUGGGGCAGAAAGUAAUUUGCCUAUUCCCCAUUCCGGAAUUCAAAGGGGGGACUGGGCCGAGACAGGUUUGCAAGGGAUUGUAGGACCGUUUUAGGGGACGCAUUCUUUGUUUUUUUUGUUUGUUUUUCGCGCUCUGGAGAGGACCUCCUUAAAAAAAGCUAAAUGGCCGGAAACCCUUUUGAAAAUAUUUUGCGGCUUGCUGAGGCAGACGUUCCCGGAAAGAAACUUGUGAGGCCGAGAGAACAGUGCACCGUGGCAGUGCUUCGGCGAUGGCUUGCUUGCCGUGGAGCUAAAAUUUUUGAUAGAGUCAAGCACCAUCAGGAAAAUGGACUCGAUGGAGUAAUUACUAAUCCAGAUGGAGAAGUUAACAGUGCUCGGAAAAAAUUGGCACUUGGUCUUCUUGUUGAUGAAGUGGAUCCAGAAGUGAAAGAGAAAUUUCCAUCCGAGGGCUUCUCAACAUUGCAGCUACCAAUAGUCAAAUACAACAGCAUCUGGAAAUAUUUGAUUGAUGAUGUGGAGUUGAAAAAACAACUUUCAACAGAGAAACCCAUUGUAAAGGGGUAUAACUUUUACAAAUCUGGACAUGUUCUCCAAAUUGUCUCUAAAAAGAAACAAGGCUUACAUUAUGUUUAAAGUAAAGUCUUCCCCUCCAUGGUCAAAGACAAAGUUUAUACAGUUAAUAUUAUUCUCAAUAAAAAUGGUGAUAUCAAGAAGGCAUCGUGUGGAUGUCCAGCAGGAGUUGAUGGUAGAUGCAACCAUCUGGCUGCAACCUUCUUUGAGGACAAGACUUCCCUACUUUUUUUACAUCUUUCUCCCCUACACCUUCUAAUGAUUCACAAGUACCUUGCACUUCUAAACCCUGCACAUGGAAUGUACAUGCUAGAAAGUGAAAAAUUGAUCCUCAGCCCAUUCAGUCUAUUGAUUUCCAAAAACAUGAAUAUGGUAAACAAACAAAACACAAAAAAGGCAAAUACAAGAUGUUUGUGCCCCACAUGAUAGGAUCAAAAGGCAUUCUACUAUAAGGUAAAGAAAUUGAAAACCAAAAGGGCAAAAGAAAAGUCUCAGUUUCAUCCUUUCUCAUGAUUUAGCAGUUAAACCUACACAAGAACCUACACAGAAACCUCUUGACCCAGACUUCAUGUGGAGAGUAACUUCACCAGAAAAAAAAAACAUCCUAUGUCUCUAACUGAAAUUGCAGCCAAAGCAGACCGAGCUUAAACCCGCCUGUUUGAUUCUGGCAAAAAAUCUGAUGCACUUGAGAAGAAAACAAGGCUGCAACAUAAAUCAAAAUUGUGGUAUGAGAUAAGAAAAACUAGGAUAACUGCUUCAAAAGAAAAGAGAUGUAUACAAAAAGAAAGCACUAGCCCCUCAAAAGCAGUCUCUGAAGUACUUGUUUAGAAAGGAAAUGUUUAAACUCAGUUGAUGAAAAAGGGAAUUGAGGCAGAACCUAUCAUAAUUGAGAGAUUCACCAAUGAAACAGGGCUUUGUAAUAUAUAUUCUCGAUUUUCUCUAUAUCUGGAAUCUUAAUUAAGAAGUUUUAAAAUUCUAUAAAUUUAAAUAAAAGAAUAUUAUUAUUAUUAUUAUUAUUAUUAUAAUAUUCUAUUAUUGUAAAUACAAAAAGAUAUAGGAAAUGACAGAUUAAUUCAACCCCUUUUUUCAAUUUCUUACUAUUAAAUUGAAUUUUUUCAAUUUAAUAAAUCUAAAUAAAAGAAUAUUCAAAAUAUUCUCUCUUUUAUUGUUAAUACAAAACUUCAAGCCAAUGAAAAUGACAGAUUAAUUAAUUUCAAUUUCUCACUAUUGAAUUGAAUGUUUAAAAUUCAAUAAAUCUAAAUAAAAGAAAUCCAUGUAAGUCAUCUGUUUGUGUAGAAGUAUUGGAAGAAUAGGAGACAUUUGUUUGGGAAGAGGUAGUUGAAGUGCAGUAAGAAGACGAAGCCAGCGAAGAAGUGCUGUCGAAAUCAAGUCGGCGCUUUUUUUUAAGUUGUUGUUUUGGUUAAUGUUUCUUUCGCUUUUCUCAUAGGCGUCCAAGGAAAUAGAGUGGGGACCUGUGUCUUACACACUGGUCGCCUCCUGGGAAGUGAUCUCCACACAUCCUGGAGUUUUAUGUAGGUGUGAAAGUGCCAUUUUCACCGUCCUCAAAAGCUUUGUUGUACUCAUUGAGUAUCGAGAGAUUAUUUGGUAAAGUGUAGAAUUUUAGGCCUGUCAACUCUAUUCUCCAGUUAUUAAAACAUCCAGGGACACAACAAGUUACUCUCAUGCUGGUAAAGCAAAGAACAUCUAAGAAAAAAAGGGAAAUUAAAAGGAAACUAAACUAAAAGUGGCCGCCAUCUCCCAAACGAAAAAUUAAACAAACUCGGCCCAAUCCCCCACUUAAAUUCCGAAAUGGGGAAUAGCCUAGCACACAGGGUAAAACAUAGGUCUUGUAAAACAAAGUGAUUCUGUUGACAACAGUAGAGCAAAAUUGUUCAUUGAAAUGGUUCUUCUCAUGCAAAGGCUUUAGCCAUCAGUCCAGACAAUAAACUAACAAUGGCUAACACCAGUAACCCACAUUUGAGCUUGUACUUGUGUAUAAUAUUUACGAGUCUUUUUAAGCCUAGGUUUGCCACAAAGCUCUUCCAAAAAGUCAAACUUGGUGUAAAUGUUAUUUUGAUGUAUGUAAUCUUUCCUUACAGCAUAAGGACAUUUCACUUCCACUGUAGCAGGAGAGCACCAUUAACAAGCAAGCACUCCAUCUGGAGACCCUCAAUCUGUUACAAAACUAAUGGGACACUUUCCCUUCCCCUUCCUCGAUGUUGGAAGGCAAAUGAUCACCUUGUUACUUCUUGUGUUUUGAGCUGAAAAAUCGCCCCUAACCAAUAUUAAUCGGGGGGAGAGGGUUGGCGGUUGUUCGUAUGGGAAGUGUCCCACUUACUUUUGUUGUGGAUUGUCUGGGCAAGUGAUUGACAGGUCCUGGAACAGGAAACACUAUUGUUGAUAACGCAACGACGAUACAACUAUGCGAAUGUCAAAAUCAAACACAUACGCAGGAUCGCGCGUAAAAAUGGACAGAAGCUUCAGAGACGACUAUUUUUCAUUGUAAACAAUCUCAUCUCUUUUUUUUUAUAUAAGAAAUACCGCCUAUGAAGAAUUUAUUACGUGAGAGAUUUUCACUACAAAUUUAGCCGCGCAAGCUUGUCUCGGGGAGAAGGUCAAUUCAAUAAAUUCAUCUGUUUUACAACAGUUUUGCUAAAUAUCUGACACUUUGGCACACAGUUAUGCUUGAAGAGUUCAAGCAAAGUGUAUGCAAUGCUUUUUCUGUGGAGCAUUCGCUAAAACCAACGGCUACAGACUACGUCUUCUGUUCUUGCUUAUGUUGCUCAACGAUUAACACCAACAGUUAACCAUUUUAAAAUUGUUUAAAAAAUGCCUUACGAAAGAAAUUCGAACUCUAAAAUAAUACAGUAACAACUUGAGAUUCAAGCUCAUAAAUUGACACUAGUUUUGUUUGAAUGAGGGUUUGCAUUUUGGAGAGAGGCAUUUAUAACCUUACUAAUUUUCCACAACUAUUUGAAUAAAAUAAAUGAACACAUUAGAUAGUAUGCAAGAUGCAGACAAUAUAACCUCAAGCAAAAAAAUAUAUAGGUUAUAGGGUUUGCAUUUGGGGUUUUUAUUUUCGAUGAGAAAAUUAUCUUGUGACGAUAUUAAUUAUCACGAUAAUGUUGAAAAAGUUGCUGUAUCUUCGAAAAGACUAAAUACACAGAAUAUCAAAACAAGAAAGGUCUUCUUUAGCAAUAUCUGACAGGAUGAUAUUUGUGUUUAGUCCAGCGGUAUCGCGCGCCGAUAAACCGACUACGCAGGAGAAAUUCGCCCAAGAGUUGUUGCGUCAUUGGAGUUGGACUAUUCUCUGGUUGUUUCUAGCGUUUGUACUGCCCAUGUUUAUCGCCGAAGGUUACAUAAAGCUCAAGAAUACCCCUUCCAUUCGUAAGGGAGUUCUCCUAGGAGCUAAAAACGAACAGACCAGCAUUAAUCUGGUCGCUACCCCUUCCAUUCGUGAGGGAGCUGUCCUAGCAGCAAGAAACGAAGAGACCAGCAUUAAUCUGGUCGCCACCCCUUCCAUUCGUGAGGGAGCUGUCCCAGCAGCGGCUGUUCGAGUAGCAGCAAAUAACGAAGAGACCAACAAGGUUAAAAUGGUCGCCACCCCUUCCCAUUCGUGAGGGAGCUGUCCCAGCGGCGGCUGUUCGAGUAACGAAGAGAGCAAAAGUGUGCUCGAUCUGCCAAUGCUUCACAGUAAUGGAAAAAUGACUUUUUUAUUUGCUAUUAUUAUUGUAUUGAUUAUUUCAAUCUAUGCAACAAACCGAAACUUGAUUGUGAUGUUAAUAACUCACAAAAAAUUGUUAAGAAUAAAGUGCAUAUUGUUAUAAACAGUCAAGUUGAUUGUUACAAGAACUAUAGUUUAUAUUUUAUUCUCUUUUAUGUCAAUUUGUCUAUCAAGCUAUUAAGUUUUCUGUUUUUCAUUCUUAUUUUUAAACUGUUUCAUAUAUGCCUUGUUUUUUUAUUCAGACCUAAGCUUUGAUGCAGAUGAGUGUUUCUCAGACGUAUUUCAAAACUUACUAUUACAAGGACUACAGAAAGGAUAACCAUGAGACUAUUGAUGCUCAACCAGAAGUGCUCACUGAUGAAAUUAUUGACAUGCAGCAUGCAGAUAGCAAUAACACUGAACUUCAAGCAAAAAUAAAAUUGAUAGAUACAACAGAAACAAUGAAAUGUAGGAAGGUUAAGCUAUAGUUAAAGCUAGGUAUCAUACUCCAAAUAAAACAAAGGAACCAGAAAAAUACUUUCACCAUUUGUUAUAGCUAUACUAUCCAUGGAGAGAUGAAACAAGUUUGAUAGCGUAUGAUCACACUUAUGCAUCCAAGUUUCAUGAGCCUAAUGUACAAGACAUUGUAGAGCGCAAUAGGUCAUUGUUUGAACCAGAUGCAGAUGCUGUUGCAGAGGCUCUUGAAGCAUUACGGAAUAAUCAGAGUAACAUUGCUCAUUCAUUUGAUCCAAUAAAUGACCGUGGUGUAGAAAUACAAUGAAAAAUGCAAAUAGCUUAAAACCACAUGAAGUUGACCCAAUCUAUCUGUUUAUAACUGGAGGAGCUGGUGCAGGUAAAAGUCCUUUAAGAGAACAGUGGGUAAUUCAGGAUUAGUUAAACCAUGCCUGAAUGUUUUUAUUGCUGUAUGAUAAAUAGUUUUAACUCUCUUAACUGCUCCCACAGUGGUCUCUGCUAUAAGUAUAAAUGGUACAACAAUAAAUACAGCAAUAAAUACAGUCAAUUCUAAGAAAACUAGGAGACACAGUACCAGCAAUGUCAGAUCAAAAAAGAACACAAUUAAGACUGUCUCUAUCAGAACUGAAACUAAUAAUUAUAGAUGAGAUAUCAAUGGUUUCAAAUACCACCUUAUUGCCAUCCAUCAAAGAUUAAAAGGCAAUUUUGGCAUAUCAAAUGCAAAGGUAUUUGCUGGAAUAAGUAUCAUAGCUGUUGGUGAUCUAUAUCAACUACCACCAAUACGUAGACAACCAGUUUUUGAUUACAAAAAUGAUGUCCACAAAAUGUCAAUCAAGAAGUGAUUAACAAAGUGUUAUCAAGGAGUAGAUCAGAAACAGGUGGUAUUGAUUCACAAAUUAUUAUUAAAGAAACAGCAAGAGUCAUGCUAAAAACAAAUAUUGAUAUUGCUGAUAGACUGAUUAAUGGUCAAACGGGAACUGUUAUAAAGGUUGAUGUUAAUAAUAAUACCAACAAACUAUGAUCUAUAUCAAAUUUGAUGAUAAUGAAGCUGGAAAGAAUGCUAUAAACAAAUGCUUGAAUCCUUUUGUUAGAGAAAACCAAGUAGUGCCUAUUCAGCCAGUCCUAACAGCGAUCAAAGUCAGACCAGGAAAAGCCUCCUCUCCAGAAAUACAAAGAAUACAAUUUCCUGUCACACUUGCAUGGGCAUGUUCCUUACACAAAGUACAAGGCUUAACUUUGCAAAAUGUUGUUGUCAGCUUUGACUUGAAUAAAACAAAGAUCAUUUAACCAUGGACAGAUCUACGUUGCUUUGAGCCGUUGCACAUCAUUACAAGGUCUUCACAUUCUUGGUAAAAUAGAAGGAAAACAUAUUAAAGCUAACCCUAAAGUUCACACUGAAUAUGAUAGAUAUCACAAAUAUCAUUAUCAUCAACAAACACCAUGUCUACAGAUGUUAAUAAUAUUACCAUUUCCUUAUUGAAUGUGAGAUCUCUCAGAAAACACAGUAUUGAUAUCAAAUAUGACCAAAAAAUCUGAAUAGUGAUAUUAUAGCCCUUACAGAAACACAACUCCUGUCUUGUGACAAUGAUACUGAAAUAAGAAAUAAUUUACAUCCAUUUAUGCUACACAGAAAAGACCAUGCAUUUGUUAAAUACUCCAUUUUAGCAGUAGGCAUCCAUCAAACUAUUCAAAUUGCAGAUCAAGACUAUUUUCCUACAAUAAAUGGAUUAAAAUUAACUGUGAUGAACAA